AAUACGCGAUCUAAAUGAUCUGAUACGACACCUGGUGUCAAAAAUGUGCACUACUCAGGAGCAUAGUGAAAGAUGUAAAUACUGUUGGUUGUACAGUGAAAUUUCGUUGUUUUAUGUUAAACCAACAAAAUUAAAUAAGUUGGUCCCAGUAUUCCUGAAAAAAUGACUGUUAACAAUACAAAUUGUUGUGUUUUUCGCUGCCAUAGCAAAAACAAUAGAAACAGUGGGCUCUCUUUUCAUAAAUUCCCCAUAAAAAACAAGUCAUUUGUUUAAAUGUUAUGAACAGGUUAGGAAUCAGGGAAAAAAAUGGACAGAUAUAAGACUUGGAUGGUAAAUAUGGGAAAACCAGCAACAAAGCACAUGAAAGUGUGUUCACUACAUUGUAAUCAGGAUGAUUUCAUAUUGAGGAUUUGAUUUGAGGACCCAGGUGGGUUAGUUAGCUUCGUGCUUGCCCACUACACCUUGGGUCGUGGGUUCGAUUCCCGCCUUGCCUUUUGGCUGUUGUGUAUGUCAUGUUUCCUGUAAUUGGGCCUCCAGCUUGUUAGAGACAUCAUAGGAUAAAAUAAAUAAAAAUAAAAAUAUUACCUGAUGUAAGUAUCAUUACUAAAGAAUUACUACCUAGAAGGCCCAAAAAUCGAGACUUUAAAGCAGUCAGAAGUACAACAAUGAGAAAAUCUGAAGGUUACAUAAUUUCAAGUACAGAUAGUACUGAUGUAAAUUGCUUCGACAGCAGUCAGUUACAUCAAAAAACUGUUUCAACAUUAGAAAUGGAAACCGUGCAGGCUUUGUUACAUUUACAAAAUUCACAAAAAAAGGAUAAAAAUAUUCAAGUGACAAGUGGAGAUUUAGUGGCACCUUUUAUAAGUACACUUAAAUCUGAUAAUGAUUUAAAUACAAUGGCUGGAAUACCAUCCUUUCUGUUAUUUAAUGCUAUUGUUGCAAAUUGUGAGAUGUUUGGAAAAUUCUGUAAUAAACAUAAAUUAAACUUGAAAGAACGUGUUCUGUUAACUUUUAUGAAACUGAAAAAUACAUUUUCUUAUGCUGUUUUA
Zophobas morio is the source of this 1049-nucleotide long non-coding RNA. RefSeq lists it as uncharacterized. The transcript is spliced from 4 exons. The record is from RefSeq and is a predicted model, not a curated record. Lineage: Eukaryota; Metazoa; Arthropoda; Insecta; Coleoptera; Tenebrionidae.